CCUAACACAUGCAAGUCGAGCGCACCCUUCGGGGCGAGCGGCGGACGGGUUAGUAACGCGUGGGAAUAUACCCUUCACUACGGAAUAGCCUCGGGAAACUGAGAGUAAUACCGUAUACGCCCUUCGGGGGAAAGAUUUAUCGGUGAUGGAUUAGCCCGCGUCUGAUUAGAUAGUUGGUGGGGUAAUGGCCUACCAAGGCUACGACGGGUAGGGGACCUGAGAGGGUGACCCCCCACAAUGGAACUGAAACACGGUCCAU
Molecule: ribosomal RNA, 259 nt
Filed under: uncultured bacterium
Lineage: Bacteria
Description: partial 16S ribosomal RNA
Rfam family: Bacterial small subunit ribosomal RNA
Source: RNAcentral